GACGAACGCUGGCGGCGUGCUUAACACAUGCAAGUCGAACGGAAAGGCCCUGCUUUUGUGGGGUGCUCGAGUGGCGAACGGGUGAGUAACACGUGAGUAACCUGCCCUUGACUUUGGGAUAACUUCAGGAAACUGGGGCUAAUACCGGAUAGGAGCUCCUGCUGCAUGGUGGGGGUUGAAAAGUUUCGGCGGUUGGGGAUGGACUCGCGGCUUAUCAGCUUGUUGGUGGGGUAGUGGCUUACCAAGGCUUUGACGGGUAGCCGGCCUGAGAGGGUGACCGGCCACAUGGGGCCUGAGAUACGGCCCAGACUCCUACGGGAGGCAGCAGUGGGGAAUAUUGCCCAAUGGGCGGAAGCCGGAUGCAGCAACGCCGCGUGCGGGAUGACGGCCUUCGGGUUGUAAACCGCUUUCGCCUGUGACGAAGCGUGAGUGACGGUAAUGGGGAAAGAAGCACCGGCUAACUACGU
RNAcentral lists this ribosomal RNA (467 nucleotides) under uncultured bacterium. RNAcentral describes it as "partial 16S ribosomal RNA". It matches the Rfam family "Bacterial small subunit ribosomal RNA", at positions 28 to 506 of the family's 1533-position model. The record is from RNAcentral.